GAUACGCGGCAUAAAUCCGCAAUUCGGCCC
RNAcentral lists this small RNA (30 nucleotides) under Bombyx mori (domestic silkworm). RNAcentral's name for it is "ovarian small RNA-5199". The record is from RNAcentral. Lineage: Eukaryota; Metazoa; Arthropoda; Insecta; Lepidoptera; Bombycidae.